This is a small nuclear RNA of Nannospalax galili (Upper Galilee mountains blind mole rat), 100 nucleotides long. The record is from Ensembl. NCBI's taxonomy places the organism in Eukaryota, Metazoa, Chordata, Mammalia, Rodentia, Spalacidae.
GUGCUUGCUUCAGUUGCCCACAUACUAAAAUUAGAAUGAAAGAUUAGUAUGGCCCCUGUGCAAGGAUGACACACAAAUUCUUGAAGCAUUCCAUUCAUAU